This 315-nucleotide unclassified non-coding RNA is filed under the name plant metagenome. RNAcentral describes it as "partial contains 5.8S ribosomal RNA, internal transcribed spacer 2, and large subunit ribosomal RNA". The stretch from base 1 to 105 matches the Rfam family "5.8S ribosomal RNA", at positions 50 to 154 of the family's 154-position model. The record is from RNAcentral.
AAAAUGCGAUAAGUAAUGUGAAUUGCAGAAUUCAGUGAAUCAUCGAAUCUUUGAACGCACAUUGCGCCCGCCAGUAUUCUGGCGGGCAUGCCUGUUCGAGCGUCAUUUCAACCCUCAAGCCCCCGGGUUUGGUGUUGGGGAUCGGGCUGCGGUUCUACCGCGUCCCGGCCCCGAAAUCUAGUGGCGGUCUCGCUGCAGCCUCCAUUGCGUAGUAGCUAACACCUCGCAACUGGAACGCGGCGCGGCCAAGCCGUUAAACCCCCAACUUCUGAAUGUUGACCUCGGAUCAGGUAGGAAUACCUGCUGAACUUAAGC